CGCUAGCUACAGGCUUAACACAUGCAAGUCGAGGGGUAGCAGGAUCUAGCAAUAGAUUGCUGACGACCGGCGCACGGGUGAGUAACACGCAUCCAACUCCGUUUACUCGGGGAUAGCCUUUCGAAAGAAAGAUUAAUACCCGAUAGUAUGUUUUUCCCGCAUGGGAGAACCAUUAAAGUUUUUCGGUAAUCGAUGGGGAUGCGUUCCAUUAGGCAGUUGGUGAGGUAACGGCUCACCAAACCUUCGAUGGAUAGGGGUUCUGAGAGGAAGGUCCCCCACAUUGGAACUGAGACACGGUCCAAACUCCUACGGGAGGCAGCAGUGAGGAAUAUUGGUCAAUGGACGAGAGUCUGAACCAGCCAAGUAGCCGUGAAGGAUGACUGCCCUAUGGGUUGUAAACUUUCUUUUAUAUGGGAAUAAAGGAGCCUACGUGUAGGUUUUUGUAUGUACCAUACGAAUAAGGAUCGGCUAACUCCGUGCCAGCCGCCGC
Molecule: ribosomal RNA, 490 nt
Filed under: uncultured bacterium
Lineage: Bacteria
Description: bacterial SSU rRNA
Rfam family: Bacterial small subunit ribosomal RNA
Source: RNAcentral